UCUCAUUUAAACGAUCCAUACCCAUAACCUCUUAUGGAUCCUUGUAGCUCUCAAGCUACGCCAGUUGGAAUAAACUUCAGCGAAAUAUA
This 89-nucleotide small RNA is filed under the name Enterococcus sulfureus ATCC 49903. Its description in RNAcentral is "BsrC". It matches the Rfam family "BsrC". From Rfam's summary of the family: The 301 nucleotide sequence from Kouji Nakamura has been trimmed to a highly conserved ~85 nucleotide long core to form this family. Lineage: Bacteria; Bacillati; Bacillota; Bacilli; Lactobacillales; Enterococcaceae. The record is from Rfam by way of RNAcentral.